GUGCCAGCCGCCGCGGUAAUACGGAGAGGGCUAGCGUUAUUCGGAAUUAUUGGGCGUAAAGGGCGCGUAGGCUGGUUAAUAAGUUAAAAGUGAAAUCCCGAGGCUUAACCUUGGAAUUGCUUUUAAAACUAUUAAUCUAGAGAUUGAAAGAGGAUAGAGGAAUUCCUGAUGUAGAGGUAAAAUUCGUAAAUAUUAGGAGGAACACCAGUGGCGAAGGCGUCUAUCUGGUUCAAAUCUGACGCUGAAGCGCGAAGGCGUGGGGAGCAAACAGGAUUAGAUACCCUGGUAGUCCACGCUGUAAACGAUGAAUGUUAAAUAUGGGGAGUUUACUUUCUGUAUUACAGCUAACGCGUUAAACAUUCCGCCUGGGGACUACGGUCGCAAGAUUAAAACUCAAAUGAAUUGACGG
RNAcentral lists this ribosomal RNA (409 nucleotides) under Wolbachia endosymbiont of Bemisia tabaci. Its description in RNAcentral is "bacterial SSU rRNA". It matches the Rfam family "Bacterial small subunit ribosomal RNA", at positions 505 to 916 of the family's 1533-position model. The record is from RNAcentral. Lineage: Bacteria; Pseudomonadati; Pseudomonadota; Alphaproteobacteria; Rickettsiales; Anaplasmataceae.